Molecule: non-coding RNA, 30 nt
Filed under: Mus musculus (house mouse)
Lineage: Eukaryota; Metazoa; Chordata; Mammalia; Rodentia; Muridae
Source: RNAcentral
UGCAACAGAUGCAAUUCAUUGGCUCUAGUC